GAAGGCCCCACUGUCUUAAGAGAAUUCCCAGUGAAAUUGAAUUCGUAGUGAAGAUGCUACGUCCAAUUUGUUAGACGAAAAGACCCCAUUGAGCUUUACUGGAGUCUUACAUUGCUCGGAUCAACUCUCGCCCCCCCCUUGGCGGGGGGGGGUCGAAUUUAAAUGGAUAGCUUAGAUUAUGUGGUGUCAUAACCGUCGAUCAAGUAGUCCUUACAGGAUUGCCCCCCCGAAGGUUGACCUAUUUGGGUGAAUGAAACCCCACUCUUCUUUGUUAAAUGAGCUAACCCUUUUUCUCCCUUAAAGGGGACAAUGUAAGUUGGACAGUUUGGUUGGGGCGACCGCCUUUUAAAGAGUAACGAAGGUGUGCUUAAGGUACAUAAUUUAUAACACAAGCCUGACUGCGAGGGGGACCCUCCGAGCAGACACCUAAAGUCUUCUCCCUUCCCCUCGAAGGUUAAAGACGAAUGGUGGGUUAUAGUGACCCGUUAAUUUAGAGUGGAAUAGUUAACGAUCAACGAAUAAAAGUUACCAUGGGGA
Molecule: ribosomal RNA, 537 nt
Filed under: Epizoanthus fiordicus
Lineage: Eukaryota; Metazoa; Cnidaria; Anthozoa; Zoantharia; Epizoanthidae
Description: partial 16S ribosomal RNA
Rfam family: Bacterial large subunit ribosomal RNA
Source: RNAcentral